RNAcentral lists this ribosomal RNA (497 nucleotides) under uncultured bacterium. Its description in RNAcentral is "partial 16S ribosomal RNA". It matches the Rfam family "Bacterial small subunit ribosomal RNA", at positions 28 to 507 of the family's 1533-position model. The record is from RNAcentral.
GAUGAACGCUGGCGGCGUGCCUAAUACAUGCAAGUCGAGCGAACGGACGAGAAGUUUGCUUCUCUGAUGUUAGCGGCGGACGGGUGAGUAACACGUGGAUAACCUACCUAUAAGACUGGGAUAAUUUCGGGAAACCGGAGCUAAUACCGGAUGAUAUUUUGAACCGCAUGGUUCAAAAGUGAAAGACGGUCUUGCUGUCACUUAUAGAUGGAUCCGCGCUGCAUUAGCUAGUUGGUAAGGUAACGGCUUACCAAGGCAACGAUGCAUAGCCGACCUGAGAGGGUGAUCGGCCACACUGGAACUGAGAAACGGUACAGACUCCUACAGGAAGCAGCAGUAGGGAAUCUUACGCAAUGGAGGAAAGCCUGACGGAGCAACGCCGGGUGAGUGAUGAAGGUCUUCGGAUCGUAAAACUCUGUUAUUAGGGAAGAACAUAUGUUUAAGUAACUGUGCACAUCUUGACGGUACCUAAUCAGAAAGCCACGGCUAACUACGUG